AUGAAAAAGAUAAAUCUGCAUAUAAAAAAGGUAGUAAUAAUAAAAAAGGUAGUAAUAAUAAAAAAGGUAGUAGUAAUAAAAAAGGUAGUAGUAAUAAAAAAGGUAGUAGUAAUAAANNNNNNNNNNAGUAGUAGUAGUAGUAGUAGUAGUAGUAGUGAUGAUCUUAAGGUACCGAGUGAAACUGCAAAACAAAAUGAAGUAUGCUUAAAUAUAGACGAACUGAAAGAAAAGUUUUUACUUGUGUUCGAAUCAGAUAGUAUAUUAAUUGAUUACAUAAAAAAUAUUUUAAUAUAUAGACUUGACUUUGAAAACGAUAUAAUAAAUAUUAAAAAAGAUUAUAUAGAUACACAAAAAUUGGCUAAGAGUAAAAAUAUAAACGAUUUUAAAGAUAUGAAUGAUGAAAAAAGAGAAGAUAAUAUAAAUGAAAAUAUGAAUAAAAAUACAAAAUAUAUGUUACAAUCUGAUUCAGAUACAUUAUCAGAUAAUUCUGAAAGUGAAGAUGACAAAAGUAAUUAUAAAAUGGGUAGGAAAUUACGACAUAAUAAUUAUAUUGAUUAUAAAAAUUCAGAUAUGAAAUAUAAAUUUGUAAAUACACAAGGGAAAUUUUCAUUUGUUAUGAGACAAAAUUAUAUCCCACCACUUAUAACAAAAAAAAGAAUAGAUGGAAAAAAAAAAAAAAAUCCAAAAAAAAAUGAUGGUAUGGAUAAUGAAUAUCAAUAUUAUACUGAAAAUGAUGCAAUACGUUACGAAAAUAUAAUUAACGACCUAAACAUUUACCAAUUUGAUGAAUAUGGAAAGGAAAAGAAAAUAUACAAAUCAAAUAUAGAUUUAUUUAAAUACAAAAAUGAGAAAUGUAUACCUAAGUAUGCACUUGUGAAUGAUACAGAAGGAAAUGAACUUAUAAUUUUAGAUGAAAAAAAUGAUAAAAAUUUAUUUAUGGUUGAUGUAAAUCAUGAAAAGAUUAUACAAAAAUGGAAUACAGAAUAUAUACCAAUAAAAAAGUUAUUAAAAAAAGAAGAAAAUUUAUAUUGUGGGUAUAAUAAAAAUAACUUAUAUUAUGUAGAUACAAGAAUGAAAGAUUGUGUACAGAAUUUAUUAGUAUAUAGUAAAAAUUCUUCCGAUGUUGAAUAUGCAAGUAUGGAUGAAAAUGGUCAAAUAAUUUUAACAAAUAAGCAAGGAGAAUUAAAAUAUUAUGAUGGAAAAUUAAAUAAUGCUAAUAUUAUUAAAAAAAGUAAAAAUGUUAUUUUUUGUGCUAAUGAUAUUGUUCAUUUGACUUUAACACAUGAUGGAAAUUACUCAAUUGUAACAUGUGAAAAAAGUGUUAUUUUAUGUAAUAAUUUUCUUGACGAUGGAAACAAUUUUUUUAAAAAGUGUAUAAAAAAAGAAGAUCGAACAAAACAGAAAAAAAUUCUUUUACAAAUACAUUAUAUUGAUGUAUUUACUUAUAAUUUGGGAAAUUUUGUAUUUAUUAAAAGUGUUUCUAAUUAUGACAAUACAUUUAUAAUUACUUUUUCACAAAAAUUUUAUGUCGUAUGGAAUUUUAAAGAGGCAUUAAAUGAUCAAAUAUCUUAUGUUAUUAAAAAAGUCGAUAGUAAUAUAUCAGACAUUACUUCUUUUAACGUUAACCAAAUGCAGGGGAUAAUUAUGGCGACAGAAAAUUCGUUGAAAUCGAAAAAAAUUAAAAAUUUAUAA
Long non-coding RNA from Piliocolobus tephrosceles (Ugandan red Colobus), 1692 nucleotides. The record is from Ensembl. Lineage: Eukaryota; Metazoa; Chordata; Mammalia; Primates; Cercopithecidae.